Molecule: ribosomal RNA, 300 nt
Filed under: uncultured Thermofilum sp.
Lineage: Archaea; Thermoproteati; Thermoproteota; Thermoprotei; Thermofilales; Thermofilaceae
Description: bacterial SSU rRNA
Rfam family: Bacterial small subunit ribosomal RNA (bases 51-300)
Source: RNAcentral
UGCACGCGGUGCGGGGGUGUUGGGUACGGAAGAGGGGGGUAGCGGUGGUCGGAAUUGGUGGGUGUAAAGCGCGUGUAAGCGGUCUGGCAAGGCGCGUGUGAAAGCUGCAGGCUGAACCUGGAAAGGGCGCGUGAAACUGGCGGACUUGGAGUGUCGGAGAGGGUGGCGGAAUUCCCGGGUUAGAGGUGAAAGUCGUAGAUAUCGGGAGGAACACCAGAGGCGAAGGCGGCCACCUGGACGAGCACUGACGCUGAGAAGCGAAAGCGUGGGGAGCAAACAGGAUUAGAUACCCCAGUAGUC